This 347-nucleotide ribosomal RNA is filed under the name uncultured bacterium. RNAcentral describes it as "partial 16S ribosomal RNA". It matches the Rfam family "Bacterial small subunit ribosomal RNA", at positions 338 to 682 of the family's 1533-position model. The record is from RNAcentral.
CCUACGGGAGGCAGCAGUGAGGAAUAUUGGUCAAUGGACGCAAGUCUGAACCAGCCAUGCCGCGUGCAGGAAGACGGCUCUAUGAGUUGUAAACUGCUUUUGUACGAGGGUAAACGCAGAUACGCGUAUCUGACUGAAAGUAUCGUACGAAUAAGGAUCGGCUAACGCCGUGCCAGCAGCCGCGGUAAUACGGAGGAUUCAAGCGUUAUCCGGAUUUAUUGGGUUUAAAGGGUGCGUAGGCGGUCGGAUAAGUUAGAGGUGAAAUCCCGAGGCUCAACUUCGGAAUUGCCUCUGAUACUGUUCGGCUAUAGCGUAGUUGCGGUCGGCGGACUGUAUGUUGUAGCGGU